AGCGGCGGACGGGUGAGUAACACGUGGGUAACCUGCCCAAGAGACUGGGAUAACACCUGGAAACAGAUGCUAAUACCGGAUAACAACACUAGACGCAUGUCUAGAGUUUGAAAGAUGGUUCUGCUAUCACUCUUGGAUGGACCUGCGGUGCAUUAGCUAGUUGGUAAGGUAACGGCUUACCAAGGCAAUGAUGCAUAGCCGAGUUGAGAGACUGAUCGGCCACAUUGGGACUGAGACACGGCCCAAACUCCUACGGGAGGCAGCAGUAGGGAAUCUUCCACAAUGGACGAAAGUCUGAUGGAGCAACGCCGCGUGAGUGAAGAAGGGUUUCGGCUCGUAAAGCUCUGUUGGUAGUGAAGAAAGAUAGAGGUAGUAACUGGCCUUUAUUUGACGGUAAUUACUUAGAAAGUCACGGCUAACUACGUGCCAGCAGCCGCGGUAAUACGUAGGUGGCAAGCGUUGUCCGGAUUUAUUGGGCGUAAAGCGAGUGCAGGCGAUUCAAUAAGUCUGAUGUGAAAGCCUUCGGCUCAACCGGGAGAAUUGCAUCAGAAACUGUUGAACUUGAGUGCAGAAGAGGAGAGUGGAACUCCAUGUGUAGCGGUGGAAUGCGUAGAUAUAUGGGAAGAACACCAGUGGCGAACGCGGCUCUCUGGUCUGCAACUGACGCUGAGGCUCGAAGCAUGGGUAGCGAACAGGAUUAGAAUACCCUGGU
RNAcentral lists this ribosomal RNA (712 nucleotides) under uncultured bacterium. Its description in RNAcentral is "bacterial SSU rRNA". It matches the Rfam family "Bacterial small subunit ribosomal RNA", at positions 94 to 791 of the family's 1533-position model. The record is from RNAcentral.